This is a long non-coding RNA of Panthera uncia (snow leopard), 401 nucleotides long. RefSeq lists it as uncharacterized. The record is from RefSeq and is a predicted model, not a curated record. Lineage: Eukaryota; Metazoa; Chordata; Mammalia; Carnivora; Felidae. The transcript has 4 exons.
GUCACCAAAAAGUACUGCUUCGCUCUCCGUGGUUGGAAAUCUUUUCUGAUAUAUCAAGGGAUAUUCCUUCUGAAACUUAAAAAUGAGUUUCUUCCCGUUCCACCUCCACUAUCCUCACCUUUUUUGAAGAACAGAUUCUCCUCUAAUCUAUGGAGAGCCAAUCAGAGCAUGGCCCUGUCUCCAACGCACUCACCCUCAACCACCUAAAAGAUGUGUAUUUAGCCUGAAUGGGGCCAAUCAGAGUCCAUGUGAAGAACUUUUCAAACUGAUUGAUGGAAGACACUGGAGACCUCUUUACUUGAACUCCCUGCAGACUGAGAAGAAGACACUCAGUUGAUUUGAAGGAAUUCAAAUUGUUUAAGCGAAGGAUUUUUGAAGACUGUGGAUCAUCUUGGAUUUUA